GGGAACUCGUCAACGUUGGAGAGUUGAAGCAGACUGUAAAUCUGUUAUCGAUGGAUUUAGUAGGUUCGAAUCCUUCAGUUCCCAC
This 85-nucleotide transfer RNA is filed under the name Hyunsoonleella pacifica. RNAcentral describes it as "tRNA-Tyr". It matches the Rfam family "tRNA". From Rfam's summary of the family: Transfer RNA (tRNA) molecules are approximately 80 nucleotides in length. Their secondary structure includes four short double-helical elements and three loops (D, anti-codon, and T loops). Lineage: Bacteria; Pseudomonadati; Bacteroidota; Flavobacteriia; Flavobacteriales; Flavobacteriaceae. The record is from RNAcentral.